GAAUUAAAAGGAUACCGUGUUAUGACGCUUCCUGUUAGCUCGAAUUUUUUCGCAUUUCUAUAACAGAUGCAUGUGAACGCAGCUGAUACGGCAUCUGAUCGCGUAGCAUUCAUUACAUUGCAAAUGAAUAGUAGAUUAGCAGUGAAGAGGUAAUCGAGACUUUGGUGGAACAACCAGUAUGCAGAAGCAACUAAUGAUCAUGAUAAGGUAGGACCUGGAUGACACAUGACGACUCUGCAUUCUGAUUCGUACUAGACCUGGCUCCUCCUUGUGGACAUGAAUGGCACAAUCUCCUUCAAUAUGUUCCUGGGCAUAGCUUGGGGAUAAUUUCAGCUGGUACGUGCCACAUGUCAGAGACCUCAGUUGCUCUUCAUCCAGGUUUGGAAAGUCAGUGAUAUCAUCCAUUUCCUCCCAACAAGCUGAUCGUCUUUCCAAUUUGUUUUCUUCAACAUGCUGCCGAAGGGUGUUGAUUUGCUUUGAUAAGAUUUCAUUGUGAGAUGCAUGUUUAUUUGCAAGUUAUUGGAAUUGAUUAUAAUAUACCUGUUACUGAUGGCACAAACAAUCCUAACAAAAUCUCCAAUGUACGGAACCUGGCUCGUUGGCAGGAUUUUCCCAAGUUGACAUCUGCCUGUCUCCAUGAGCCAUAAAGGAUGGCAUCUGUGCCUUGAUACCUAGUUCCUCCAAGUAAUCCAAGGAGUCUCUGAAACCACGGUCCACCACAAAUACAUCAUCCUCGCAAACCCAUCCCUGUGUUUUGGGCAGCAACGAGCUCCAGCAGGAAUUAUGACUUCUUUGGUGAUAAAGAUUCGAUGACGAAAUCCCACUGGAACCACAACUAGCUUUGGUCCUGGCCUUUUGCAGAUGCAACAUGCAGCAUGUCCUCUUGAUGUGCAAGGAAAAGGAAGAGUUACUGAUGGUGGACUGAACUGAGGUGUUAAAGUUGUAGAUGAUGUUGAUGGUGCGGAUUCACCUUGACAAUCUGUCGUGCUCGCCAUGCUAUGACCUUUGCGUUUUAUGUGACGUGCACACAUGCACCUACAUCUGUUGCAUAGGAAGUCAUCGUCACCUGGUGUUCUCCCAGAUAGUUUGGAGAUAACGACUCUGUAUUUUCUUGCAAUGCUGUAUCUGUCUUUCUGUCGUACCACGCGUGGACAAUUACAACAGUUGUAAGAUUUCUUACCAGGCAUCUGAAAUGUCAAAUAAAAUCUGUUUCAUUUUA
Ostrea edulis (European flat oyster) is the source of this 1219-nucleotide long non-coding RNA. RefSeq lists it as uncharacterized. The record is from RefSeq and is a predicted model, not a curated record. The transcript is spliced from 5 exons. Lineage: Eukaryota; Metazoa; Mollusca; Bivalvia; Ostreida; Ostreidae.